Molecule: non-coding RNA, 31 nt
Filed under: Rattus norvegicus (Norway rat)
Lineage: Eukaryota; Metazoa; Chordata; Mammalia; Rodentia; Muridae
Source: RNAcentral
UGCCAAUGGGAAUUGCAUGAGUUUAUGCCAU